RNAcentral lists this non-coding RNA (30 nucleotides) under Rattus norvegicus (Norway rat). The record is from RNAcentral. Lineage: Eukaryota; Metazoa; Chordata; Mammalia; Rodentia; Muridae.
UUGAACCAAUUGUAGUUGUGUCAUGGAGGU